Molecule: ribosomal RNA, 440 nt
Filed under: uncultured bacterium
Lineage: Bacteria
Description: partial 16S ribosomal RNA
Rfam family: Bacterial small subunit ribosomal RNA
Source: RNAcentral
CCUACGGGCGGCUGCAGUGGGGAAUAUUGCACAAUGGGGGAAACUCUGAUGCAGCGACGCCGCGUGAGUGAAGAAGUAUUUCGGGAUGUAAAGCUCUAUCAGCAGGGAAGAAAAUGACGGUACCUGAUUAAGAAGCCCCGGCUAACUACGUGCCAGCAGCCGCGGUAAUACGUAGGGGGCAAGAGUUAUCCGGAUUUACGGGGUGUAAAGGGAGCGUAGACGGCAGCACAAGUCUGGAGUGAAAUGCCGGGGCUUAACCCCGGAACUGCUUUGGAAACUGUGCAGCUAGAGUGCAGGAGAGGUAAGUGGAAUUCCUAGUGUAGCGGUGAAAUGCGUAGAUAUUAGGAGGAACACCAGUGGCGAAGGCGGCUUACUGGACUGUAACUGACGUUGAGGCUCGAAAGCGUGGGGAGCAAACAGGAUUAGAUACCCUGGUAGUC